UCAGGAUGAACGCUGGCGGCGUGCCUAACACAUGCAAGUCGAGCGGAGAUAAUGGGAGAUUCUUCGGAUGAUCUAUUAUCUUAGCGGCGGAUGGGUGAGUAACACGUGGGUAACCUGCCCUGCACAGGGGGAUAACAGCUGGAAACGGCUGUUAAUACCGCAUAUGCACACGCUGCCGCAUGGCAGGGGGUGGAAAGAUUUAUCGGUGCAGGAUGGGCCCGCGUCGGAUUAACUAGUUGGCAGGGUAACGGCCUACCAAGGUGAUGAUCCGUAGCCGACCUGAGAGGGUGACCGGCCACAUUGGGACUGAGACACGGCCCAAACUCCUACGGGAGGCAGCAGUGGGGGAUAUUGCACAAUGGGCGCAAAGCCCGAUGCAGCGACGCCGCGUGAAGGAAGAAGUAUUUCGGUAUGUAAACUUCUAUCAGCGGGGAAGAAGAUGACGGUACCCGACUAAGAAGCCCCGGCUAACUACGUGCCAGCCGCUGC
RNAcentral lists this ribosomal RNA (489 nucleotides) under uncultured bacterium. RNAcentral's name for it is "bacterial SSU rRNA". It matches the Rfam family "Bacterial small subunit ribosomal RNA", at positions 24 to 518 of the family's 1533-position model. The record is from RNAcentral.